ACGAAGGGGGCUAGCGUUGCUCGGAAUUACUGGGCGUAAAGCGCACGUAGGCGGAUUGUUAAGUCGGGGGUGAAAUCCUGGAGCUCAACUCCAGAACUGCCUUCGAUACUGGCGAUCUCGAGUUCGGGAGAGGUGAGUGGAACUGCGAGUGUAGAGGUGAAAUUCGUAGAUAUUCGCAAGAACACCAGUGGCGAAGGCGGCUCACUGGCCCGAUACUGACGCUGAGGUGCGAAAGCGUGGGGAGCAAACAGGA
This 253-nucleotide ribosomal RNA is filed under the name uncultured prokaryote. RNAcentral's name for it is "partial 16S ribosomal RNA". It matches the Rfam family "Bacterial small subunit ribosomal RNA", at positions 525 to 777 of the family's 1533-position model. The record is from RNAcentral.